RNAcentral lists this ribosomal RNA (301 nucleotides) under uncultured bacterium. RNAcentral describes it as "partial 16S ribosomal RNA". It matches the Rfam family "Bacterial small subunit ribosomal RNA", at positions 509 to 807 of the family's 1533-position model. The record is from RNAcentral.
CAGUCGCCGCGGGAAUACGUAGGUGGCAAGCGUUGUCCGGAUUUAUUGGGCGUAAAGCGAGGGCAGGCGGUCAAUUAAGUCUGAUGUGAAAGCCCCCGGCUCAACCGGGGAGGGUCAUUGGAAACUGGUUGACUUGAGUGCAGAAGAGGAGAGUGGAAUUCCAUGUGUAGCGGUGAAAUGCGUAGAUAUAUGGAGGAACACCAGUGGCGAAGGCGACUCUCUGGUCUGUAACUGACGCUGAGGCUCGAAAGCGUGGGUAGCAAACAGGAUUAGAUACCCGAGUAGUCCCUGUCUCUUAUAC